UACGUAGGGGCCUAGCGUUGUCCGGAAUUAUUGGGCGUAAAGAGCUCGUAGGCGGUUCGGCAAGUCGGAUGUGAAAUCUCCACGCUCAACGUGGAGGGGCCAUUCGAAACUGCCGUGACUCGAGUCCGGUAGGGGAGUGUGGAAUUCCCGGUGUAGCGGUGAAAUGCGCAGAUAUCGGGAAGAACACCCGUGGCGAAGGCGGCUCUCUGGAACGCAACUGACGCUGAGACGCGAAAGCGUGGGGAGCAAACAGG
Molecule: ribosomal RNA, 254 nt
Filed under: uncultured bacterium
Lineage: Bacteria
Description: partial 16S ribosomal RNA
Rfam family: Bacterial small subunit ribosomal RNA
Source: RNAcentral